CCCCCCCCCUUCCCUCACAUCCGGACCGCUUCGCACAUAGGAGCCUUUUAUUUAGCUCCCGUUUUUAAGCAGGUUGGGACAAGGCCAUCCUUAGGCAUACGCAGAGUACACAGUUGCGUAGGGCACCUCUUUCUGGAGCACCACUCUGCUGGGCCGAAGGACUUCGGCGAGGAGGUCGGCAAGCUGACCCUGGCUGGAGAAGGUUUAUCCCAGAUGACUUCUCACAGGGAGCAAAACCAUGGGGACUGUUUCACCAAUGGGGAUUGCUUGACACCACUUCAUAAGAUCUUUCUGGAAGAAAGGUUGGAAGAAAUUAUAAAAGAAGUGGCAUCAUCUCUUGGCCUUUCCCGCUCCCAACUCACCAGCAGGAGGACACAAGUCUGGAGGAUCAAGCACUUUGAACUGGGGGAGAGUGGUCCCUAGCCAGGAAACAGUCUGAGCCUCUGGAUCAAAUAUUUGUGACCUGUUUGUAUCACCUGUCAGGGUGAGACAGCUUGAUUCACAUCCUCUUUGCAGAAUUCAGACUGUAAAAUUCAUUUUUCUUAGCCAAUUGAGAUCUGUUUGCUACUUUUCAAUCAUUUGAAAUCUCUCUCUCUGUAGUUAAUAAAUCUGUAUUAUAUUUUACCUAAGAAAGUGUGUUUUGGUUGAAAUGCUUGGGAAAUCUUAGCUCAUCUUACAGAGGCCAGUAUGGGUAUGUCUACACAGCAGGGUUAAAGUUGAAUUAAGCUAUGCAAUUGACAUA
This is a non-coding RNA of Pelodiscus sinensis (Chinese soft-shelled turtle), 742 nucleotides long. The record is from RefSeq and is a predicted model, not a curated record. NCBI's taxonomy places the organism in Eukaryota, Metazoa, Chordata, Testudines, Trionychidae.